UUUUAAGCGGGAGGUUUAAGGCUACGGCUUAACCGUAGUUCGCCUCUCGAACUGGAAGACUUGAGUGCAGGAGAGGAAAGCGGAAUUCCUAGUGUAGCGGUGAAAUGCGUAGAUAUUAGGAGGAACACCGGUGGCGAAGGCGGCUUUCUGGACUGUAACUGACACUGAGGUACGAAAGCGUGGGGAGCAAACAGGAUUAGAUACCCUGGUAGUCCACGCCGUAAACGAUGAGCACUAGGUGUCGGGUCAAAAGGCUCGGUGCCGAAGUUAACGCAUUAAGUGCUCCGCCUGGGGAGUACGUACGCAAGUAUGAAACUCAAAUGAAUCCGGAUAACGCUCGCGUCCUCCGUAU
Molecule: ribosomal RNA, 352 nt
Filed under: uncultured bacterium
Lineage: Bacteria
Description: partial 16S ribosomal RNA
Rfam family: Bacterial small subunit ribosomal RNA
Source: RNAcentral